This 253-nucleotide ribosomal RNA is filed under the name uncultured prokaryote. RNAcentral describes it as "partial 16S ribosomal RNA". It matches the Rfam family "Bacterial small subunit ribosomal RNA", at positions 525 to 777 of the family's 1533-position model. The record is from RNAcentral.
ACGGGGGGGGUAAGCGUUGUUCGGAAUUACUGGGCGUAAAGGGCUCGUAGGCGGCCAACUAAGUCAGACGUGAAAUCCCUCAGCUUAACUGGGGAACUGCGUCUGAUACUGGAUGGCUUGGAUUCGGGAGAGGAAUGCGGAAUUCCAGGUGUAGCGGUGAAAUGCGUAGAGAUCGGGAAGAACAUCGGUGGCGAAAGCGCUCUGCUGGACUGCAACUGACACUCAGGGACGAAAGCUAGGGGAGCGAAUGGGA